RNAcentral lists this ribosomal RNA (431 nucleotides) under uncultured bacterium. RNAcentral's name for it is "partial 16S ribosomal RNA". It matches the Rfam family "Bacterial small subunit ribosomal RNA", at positions 29 to 507 of the family's 1533-position model. The record is from RNAcentral.
AACGAACGCUGGCGGCAGGCUUAACACAUGCAAGUCGAACGCCCCGCAAGGGGCGUGGCGGGCGGGUGAGUAACGCGUGGGAACAUACCCUUUUCUACGGAAUAGCUCUGGGAAACUGGAAUUAAUACCGUAUACGCCCUACGGGGGAAAGAUUUAUCGGGGAAGGAUUGGCCCGCGUUGGAUUAGCUAGUUGGUGGGGUAAAGGCCUACCAAGGCGACGAUCCAUAGCUGGUCUGAGAGGAUGAUCAGCCACAUUGGGACUGAGACACGGCCCAAACUCCUACGGGAGGCAGCAGUGGGGAAUAUUGGACAAUGGGCGCAAGCCUGAUCCAGCCAUGCCGCGUGAGUGAUGAAGGCCUUAGGGUUGUAAAGCUCUUUCACCGAUGAAGAUAAUGACGGUAGUCGGAGAAGAAGCCCCGGCUAACUUCGUG